GCAAUCGAAGCUCAGUAGUUAAAGCAUUUGUCUCAAGUACAAGCUCAACCUGGGUUCAAUCCCAGCCAUGUCA
Megalops atlanticus (tarpon) is the source of this 73-nucleotide non-coding RNA. Lineage: Eukaryota; Metazoa; Chordata; Actinopteri; Elopiformes; Megalopidae. The record is from the annotation of a GenBank genome assembly.